UGGGUAUUGAGAUAUUGGUUUGAUUUUUAUGGGAGGUUGUAGUAAGGAAUUUUGGGCAAUGGGCGAAAGCCUGACCCAGCGACGCCGCGUGGAGGACGAAGGCCUUCGGGUCGUAAACUCCUGUCACAUAUUAUGAAGAGGAAUGGUACUAAUAAUACUAUUUCUUUGACGAAGGUAUGAGAGGAAGCCAUGGCUAACUCCGUGCCAGCAGCCGCGGUAAUACGGAGAUGGUGACCGUUGUUCGGAAUCACUGGGCUUAAAGAGUACGUAGGCGGGAAUAUAAGUCGAGUGUGAAAUUUUAUGGUUUACCCAUGGAACUGCAUUCGAAACUGUAUUUCUUGAGAGUGGGAGGGGAGAGUGGAACUCCUAGUGGAGUGGUGAAAUGUGUUGAUAUUAGGAGGAAUGUUGGUAGUGAAAGUGACUCUCUGGUCCGUUUCUGACGCUGAGGUACGAAAGCUAGGGGAGCAAACGGGAUUAGAUAUCCCGGUAGUUCUAGUCGUAAACGAUGGGCACUAAGUAGAGGGACUCUUAGGUCUCUCUGCCGGAGUAAAAGUAUUAAGUGUCCCGUCUGGGGAGUAUAGUCGCAAGGCUGAAACUCAAAGGAAUUGACGGGGGCUCGCACAAGCGGUGGAGCAUGUGGUUUAAUUCGAAGCAACGCGCAGAACCUUACCUGGGUUUGACAUGUCUGGGAUUAGCCUCUUGAAAGAGAGGUGACACCCCUCCGGGGUGGAACCAGCACGGGUGUUGCAUGGCUGUCGUCAGCUCGUGCCGUGAGGUGUUGGGUUAAGUCCCGUAACGAGCGAAACCCUUAUUCCUAGUUGCUAGCGGGUAAUGCCGGGCUACUCUAGGGAGACUGCCUGUGUUAAGCAGGAGGAAGGUGGGGAUGACGUCAAGUCCACAUGGCCUUUAUGCCCAGGGCUACACACGUGCUACAAUGGCCGGUACAAUGGGAAGCAAUGUCGAAAGGCGGAGCAAAUCCUAAAAACCGGUCUCAGUUCGGAUUGAGGGCUGAAAUUCGCCCUCAUGAAGUUGGAAUCGCUAGUAAUCGCGGGUCAUCAACACCGCGGUGAAUAUGUUCCCGAGCCUUGUACACACCGCCCGUCAAGCCACCGAAGCAGGGGAUCCCUAAAGUCAUUGACCCAACUCUUCGGAGAGGGAGAUGCCCAAGGGAGCUUCUGUGACGGGGACUAAGUCGGAACAAGGUA
RNAcentral lists this ribosomal RNA (1205 nucleotides) under metagenome. Its description in RNAcentral is "bacterial SSU rRNA". It matches the Rfam family "Bacterial small subunit ribosomal RNA", at positions 313 to 1498 of the family's 1533-position model. The record is from RNAcentral.